UCUUCUCAAAAAAAAAAAAAAAAAAAAAAAAAAAAAAAAAAAAAAAAAAAGCUUGCCGGCUCCUGUUGUCACUCCCGAUCAGAAUGUUGUGACUUCGGAACCGAGAGAAAGGGGAGGCCGCCGAAGGCGUCGGCAAAAGAAGGAGAGGAAAGCUUCAGGAGGGGACGAGAAUUGGUCGGAUGAGGCGUCGAAGUGGAUCGGAGAAGUAGGAGUUGGGAUCGCAGCUUUAACGUAGAGAAGCAGAGAGCAGAGGCUUUGGGUCGUGUAUGGAGUCGAGCGUGGAGAGAGGUUGAGGGCUCCGUCUGUUCUCCCUUUAAUAGCGUUAACGCACGAGGGAAUGGGCGGCAACUCUAAAACGGUGCCAAAUCGCAGAACUGCGGAGUACUGUAGAGGCGGCCUGUUCAGAAGAUUUUGCGUAGGAGAUCGGGAUGGGCUUAACAGGUGAACAAUUUACCAAGAUUGUUGGAAGUCCUUAUUACAUGACACCGGAGGUUCUGAGGCGUAAUUAUGGACAAGAAAUUUAUGUUUGGAGUGUUGGAGUUAUAUUAUACAUUAUGCUAUGCGGUGUGCCACAAUUUUGGGCAGUUUAUGACUAGAGGGCAUGCAUUCGUGCGGUUCCCAAUUUACAAUUGCUAGAAGGAAGGUGCUGCAGAUGCUCAGAGAUGAAUUUGAACUUAUCAUGGCUUAAGUGGCUGCACCUCUCUGAAAGUAAACACUCGAAACCAUAUCAUUACACCAUGAGACAAAAUACUCCAUUUCGGCCAGGUUAUAAGUCACCCUGAAGGAGUCCAAGGAAGAAGGAAUUUUUGUAUUGGAACAUUUAAUAAGCUUCAAUGCUUGAUGAUCAUAAUAUAUUGAUAAGAUUUGGUAUAAGUUGUAGCUGCCUCUAUUGCACUUCCUUAUCGUUGUUACAAUUAUAUUGAAGUAUCCAUUUGACAUUACUUAUGUAUUAUUUAAUCAGAAAAUUAAAUUUUUUUCA
Molecule: long non-coding RNA, 979 nt
Organism: Dendrobium catenatum
Lineage: Eukaryota; Viridiplantae; Streptophyta; Magnoliopsida; Asparagales; Orchidaceae
Exons: 4
Source: RefSeq, a predicted model, not a curated record